AUGCUAUGUUUCUGUUUUCUCCUAUAAAUUUGUUUUGUUUUUUAUAGGUCCAGGAUCUCUCCUUUGUAUUGGGAGACAGUGUUUAGAGAUGUUGGAUUUAAUUGUGAUUUAAGGACAAGAUAAAUAUUCUACCUCUGCUUUUAACUUUCUGCUGAGAACAAGCCUUAGGACACCCAUGUUACAGGGACCAAGAAGUUUGCUGAUAAGCUACUGAAGAAGUUCACUGACUUCUGCACCAACUGCAAUAACUGGCUGGUUAUGUUAUGAACAAGUUGUCUGAACAAGAUGCACACCAGUGCCCCAUGAAUCCAGGCCACUUGGCCCAAAAGAAUCCGGGCCACUCACGGGCAGAGGAUUCCUGUCAGGCUCUAAGGAUCAGGUUAUCAGUUUGCCUCUGCUAACCAGAUACAACCUCCUGCAGUGAGAGUGGAAACAGAUAUAUAAGGACUUCUGAAGGCUCGGGACUGCCAGAGGCUGGCCAGGACCUGCUAAGUACUGUACUGGUAAGUACAGUCAGCUAAUGAAGUUCUAAUAUCCCCUAAGGAUCCCAAAAACCACAGAUCUACACACUCGUGGUAUUUGCCUGUAACCUAUGCAUGUUUUCUCAACAUACUUAAAUCAUUAUAUUACUCAUAACAACUAAUAAAAUGAUAAUGUUAUUUAAAUAGUUGUUAUGUAUAUUGGUUAGGGAAUAAUGACAAUAGGAAAAGAAUAUGAAUAGCUGUUCAGUACCAAAAAAAAUUUCCCAAAUACUGUCAAUCUGAGGUUGGUUGGAUCCAAGGAUGUGGACCCCAGUGAUACAGAGGGCCAACUGUACUAUGAUGGAUAGGUACAUAAACCUGCAUCUCAUUUGUAAGAAGAGACCCAUCGAAAUAAUUAAAACAGAAGCUGAGGUUGAAGCUUAGUGGUAGGGUGCUAGUCUACCAUGCAUAAUAUCCUGGGUUCCAUCCCCAGUUCCACCAAAAAAAGACACUUUGGGUAUUAAAUAUGUUAUAUGCCUGAGACACUAAGCAAAUUUCUGAGGCUUUAUUGGAAUGGAUAGAAAAUAGUGGGAGAGAAAGCUAAACAGAAGCCAAUUUACAGGCCUCUCCAUUUACUCACAAAACUUCAAAUACAUGCAAUAACAGUGGUCACUUCAUUUUUUGAUAGUUUUGCUCUGUCUGGGUAAUGUGUCAUACUUUACAUAAUCUUAUCAACGUAGCAGAUGGGAGGCAGAGGCCUAAGGAAGUGGAACCAGGAUGAUACAGCUAACAAACAGCUGGGCUGCAAGUCAGCUUUGUGAGACCAAAGAGCCUAGGGCUUGCUCACCGUGCUGCCCCUUUUACCUCCUACUGAUGUUAAGUCAGUGAACUACCAUCUGCUGCUAUGUCCCAGGGCCUAGGCUCGGGGCCUUUGUUCUCA
This 1401-nucleotide long non-coding RNA is filed under the name Ictidomys tridecemlineatus (thirteen-lined ground squirrel). RNAcentral's name for it is "lncRNA (ENSSTOG00000032921.1)". The record is from RNAcentral. Lineage: Eukaryota; Metazoa; Chordata; Mammalia; Rodentia; Sciuridae.